This 411-nucleotide ribosomal RNA is filed under the name uncultured eukaryote. RNAcentral describes it as "SSU rRNA". It matches the Rfam family "Eukaryotic small subunit ribosomal RNA", at positions 592 to 1016 of the family's 1831-position model. The record is from RNAcentral.
CAAUAGCGUAUACUAAUGUUGUUGCAGUUAAAAGCUCGUAGUCGGAUUUCAGUAUUAGGCCCUGCUUCCAAUACGGUUGAUAGUGGUCUUUACUUCCUUAACAGAAUCUUUCAUGUCAUUAAUUUGGCGUGUUUGGGGCCUGUUUCUUUUACUUUGAUGAAAAUUAGAGUGUUCAAAGCGGGUUUUCGCCUGAAUAUUACUCUUGGAAUAAUAAUAUAGGACUUUGGUUCUUUUUUGUUGGUGAACUAGAACCGAAGUAAUGAUUGAUAGGGACAGUUGGGGUCAUUCGUACUAUGAAGCGAGAGGUGAAAUUCUUGGACCUUUGUAUGACGAACUACUGCGAAAGCAUUUGACUAGGAUGUUCCCGUUGAUCAAGAACGAAAGUUGGGGGAUCGAAGACGAUCAGAUACC